GACGAACGCUGGCGGCGUGCUUAACACAUGCAAGUCGAACGGAAAGACGCGGGUAGGGCUACUCGCGUGUCGAGCGCGGGAGUGUCACGCAAGUGACCUGCCCCGGACUUCGGGAUUACUUUAGCAAACGGGACCCAAAUCCCGCAUGGGAUCCUAGCUUGAAAGCGGGGGUUCUACAGCUCCCGCGGGUUUGGAUGGACCCGCGGCAGAUCAGCUAGUUGGUGGGGUAACGGCUUACCAAGCCGACGAUCGGUAGCCGGCCUGAGAGGGCGACCGGCCACACAGGGGCUGAGCGGCGACCCAGACACCGACAGGCGGCAGCGGUGGGGAAGGUUGGACAAUGUGGGGAAGCCUGAUCCAGCGGCGCCGCGUGGAUGAAGAAGGGCUGCGGGUGGUAAAAUGCUUUUCGAGGGGAAGAACAGUUUCAGGAGAAGCGAUGCGGGUGAUGACGGUACCGGAAGAAGAAGCACCGGCUAACUACGUG
This 484-nucleotide ribosomal RNA is filed under the name uncultured bacterium. Its description in RNAcentral is "partial 16S ribosomal RNA". It matches the Rfam family "Bacterial small subunit ribosomal RNA", at positions 28 to 507 of the family's 1533-position model. The record is from RNAcentral.